GCGUCCUCAGCUGGUCCUAGACAUGCGUGGCGUCGGGGCUGUGGCACGGUCGGGUCCGGGGACACUUGUUUAACAAGACAUCUGCCCAUGUCCCUGGCCCAUCUCAUUGGCUGCAGCACAUCACAGUGGACCUUCUGCCUCCUCCCAGAUGCCCAGGGACAGUGAUCUGGAAGGAAGGGGCUUGAGGCUGUUUUCCUAGAACUCGACUUGAAUGCACCAAGGAAAGGCCAUUUGUGGGGACAUAGCAAGAAGGCAGCUGUCUGCAAGCCAGGAGGAGAACCCUCACCAGAAACCUCACAGAAAUCGGCCAACACCCUCAUCUCGGGCUUCCAGCUUCAGAACAACGAGAAAACAAAUUUCUGUUGUGUCCUGGUUCCCAUUUGUAAUUGGCACCCUAAUGAAACCGUUUUCUGUAGCCCUGGAAAUGGCUGAAAAUGAGGGGAGGGAAAUAAAGUGCUAUAAUUCAGAGCAUGGAGCACACCUUCCUGGUUCACCUGAGCUGGAUUCGGAGAGGUAAAAUGGCCAUUACCUCGUCUAAGCUGCCACUUACAGACACAGUACAGGAUGAGGCCCAGACCCACAGAGACAACGAUGAUGGCCACAGCUAAGAUGAUCCAGAAAUUAUUCCUCCACCAGCUCAUUGCAGUGGAAUCCUGAGAAGAAUGGAGAGAGAAGAAUGAGAGGGCAAAAGCAGAUGGCUACACCGAGAACUCACGCCAGCCCAACACACUUUGAUCUCGAGGCCUCUGGAAGGGAAGGUGCCUAAUGAACUACUGAAAGCCAGAGAUGCAAUGACAAAGCAGUCGUACCAGGGCCCCAGGCUGCAAUCCCCUGGCCCAGUGCUGAUCGGUGGCUCCCAGGGACACGCCCUGAUGCCAGCGCUGGCAGAUGUCUGCUGUGAAGAGAGCAGGAAACUGUCCCUUGGAAAGCUGAGAUGCUUACCUGAACUGUGAAAGUAUCCAUAUGUGAGCAGCUAAGGAGACAGCAGUGGCUGGAGUGCUGCAGCUCAGGCACAGCUGGGAAGCUCAUGACCCACGGCUGUCCAGAAGCCAGAAUCUUCUCACUGCCCCGUGUCGCUCCCGCAAGGCCUACCAGAGGACCCUCAUGGUGUGGUAGGGGGUCCUGGCAGGGGCCAGGGGCCAGGGUGGAGACUUGGCAGUGGGGGUGGGUUUGGUGUCCCCACAGACGAGUUUGCCGUGAGCAUUCCUGGAUGUGGCAACCUCAGUCUCAAGAAGAGCGACAGGACGCCAGCUCCCAUGCAGAGACAGAUCCAGGUAAGAAACCAGCUCAUGUGUGACAAACUCACCAUCUCACCAUGAAGGUGACUCUUGAAAGCUCCUGUGCACCUUGGAACUGCUGAGACAUCUUCUGCUUGGAGGAGGCAAGGGACAGGCUUCCUGUUUCUAAAGGCGUGUGAGUGGCGACCUUGAGAAAUGUGGCCAGUGGAGCAUUUUGACUGAGUUGGGUCCCCUCGUGCAAUACUGUGAGACAGAACUCCCAGCGAGGCCCACGGCCUCUGACCAUGGGGGUUGGAGUGGGGAAACCAAUUAGCCAUUUUGUUGAAUUGGCUGGUUCUGACUCAAAUGAGCAGUCACAUUAGUAAAAAUAGGCAAACGGAUGUGCAUUGUAUUUGCCCAGAGCGAAUGAGUUGUUAUCCAUUUCAGUAAUAAUGAUAACCAGAUAUGUCUGAUAAAUAUCUGAUAAUGUCUGAUAUA
Homo sapiens (human) is the source of this 1715-nucleotide long non-coding RNA. Ensembl annotates it as ZNF594 divergent transcript. Its record names the gene ZNF594-DT. Lineage: Eukaryota; Metazoa; Chordata; Mammalia; Primates; Hominidae. The record is from Ensembl.